UCUCCCAAACUUAAUGGCCCAUUUGAAGACCAGAAUUUCGAUGAUGAAAUCUGGGAGUGAAAGUUAGGAAAAAGUCAAUAAUAGUGAACCGGCCUUAUAUGACCAAACCGACAUCUGUAUCUUUUUUCAGAAAGAAUUGCUCCUAGACACUGUUAUGUAAUAUCCGACACAAAUACUCAGCCUCCCAAAAGAACACACAUGUAGAAAAUAGAUAGACAAAGCGGUAAAGAAUGAUCGUGACGUGAUGCAGCACUUGCGAGAAAAAUAACGUUCAUUCCCUCUUCGUAUGUCGAAGUCGUGACAUUCAGAAAACUUGAAAAAAUCAGUGGCAAUGACUUGUUAUUUUCUCAAUACCCCUUAACUGAGCUCCGGCCAAUAGAUGAGUCUGACGUCCUUUUCGCACAGACUAGUUCGGAUAGAGACAAUGUUAUACUGAAACUCAGAUUAUACAGAGAAAAAAAUAAUUCGUUGGAUUUUCGGAGGAACAGAAACCCUUCCAGGCAAUAUGAUUUGCGUCAGUGGAGAUGCGUUUAACUGAUCACCGGGCGGUAACGGAGUGGAAAAAGCACUACUCAUCAGAUCGCCAAGUAUGCCGAAAUAGUUUGGAUCGAAUGUAAAUGUAAACAUGAGAUGUUCAGUUACAGCUUCAUGGUGACCGUGA
This is a long non-coding RNA of Danaus plexippus (monarch butterfly), 661 nucleotides long. RefSeq lists it as uncharacterized. Lineage: Eukaryota; Metazoa; Arthropoda; Insecta; Lepidoptera; Nymphalidae. The record is from RefSeq and is a predicted model, not a curated record. The transcript has 3 exons.